RNA transcript from Telopea speciosissima, 1240 nucleotides. It is a transcript of the gene named protein COFACTOR ASSEMBLY OF COMPLEX C SUBUNIT B CCB2, chloroplastic, with no coding region annotated. The transcript has 7 exons. NCBI's taxonomy places the organism in Eukaryota, Viridiplantae, Streptophyta, Magnoliopsida, Proteales, Proteaceae. The record is from RefSeq and is a predicted model, not a curated record.
CGGAUAUAUGAAUAGAGGCAUAGGACAUCACCUCGCUUAUCCCAAAAGAGAAGGGGAGACAUGGGGAGUCUCUUUUUAAAUUCGUUAAUUCAGUUGAGUUUGCCGCCAAGAUUUCGCGCCAAUCCAGUUACAUAUUCGUGCCAUUGCGUUUCUUUCCUUUAUCCCUCCGUAUUCAGCAGCACCAUUGCUCGAAGUACGAGAAGAACAAGAAGAAAGAGGGAUACAACAACCUACGUUCGUUCGGAAGAUACCGGAGAACCAAAGCAACAGCAGCAACAGCUAAACCUCUCCGUUCUUCGCUUCACACUUGGUAUUCCUGGGUUCGACGAAUCCUACCUACCCAGAUGGAUUGGCUACGGUUUCGGUUCGCUACUUUUCUUAAAUCAUUUCGUGGGCUCGAGUUCAUACAUCACUGCAGCGCAGUUGAAAUCGGAAGCCCUUGGUGUUUCUCUGGCGGCGUUCUCGGUUGCCCUUCCCUAUUUGGGAAAAUUUCUGAAGGGUGCAACUCUGGCAGAUCAGUCAGCGCUACCUGAAGGCAACAAGCAAACAUUUAUUAUGUCAGAAAGUCUCUCUGACAUACAAAAGGAAGAUUUAGCAUGGGCAACAUAUAUUCUGUUGCGCAAUACAAACACCAUGUCAGUGCUUAUAUCUGUUGGAGAUGCAUUAUGUGUACGUGGCUAUUGGGGAGCACCUGAAAAUGUAUCAAAAGCUAGUGAACUUGACUGGUUUGAGAGGAAGAUUCAACAAAUUGGCUUUUCUGAUCUAAAGGACACACUUUAUUUUCCUCAGACCUCAGUGAUUGCAGAUUCUGCAUUUUCGGAGAUGCUCCCAAGAGGAACUCAAUCUCUUCUUGUACAACCCGUGCUUGGAGCUCCUAAACUAGGUAUUGAUGAAAGACAGGAAAUUAUUGGAGGAUUCAUCCUAUUGGCUUCCAGUAUGAGUUAUGCAUACAGUGACAGAGACAGAGCCUGGAUAGGAGCUAUCUCAAACAAAUUCAGAAUUAUGUGAAUGAAUUCCUAAUGUAUCAAGAUAUCAUCUUUAAUGCGGGCCCGAUCGAUCAAGUGAAAUGCAUAGUUCAAAGAAUAGUGCUGGAGUUAGAAAAUGUUUUUGCUCUCAGCAGUAAUGUACUUUUAUCUGUCGAAGCCCACUUUUAAACAAACAUUGAAUCUCCUCUGUGCUGUCUUCUCUUCAAUUAGAUGGGGCCGAAGAAGAUCGAGUCUCUACAGAAACUUCUUCAAUU